AAGCCUAAUAUAGUCCAAAUUGUCUCAGUGACUGCUACCCCUUUAUCUUCUUUCUCCCAAAAUCUCUUAAACCGUAAAAAGUUAUGAUAAAACACUGAUCUUCUUCUACAUACAUGAGCCUCACACGCUACCCUGGUAUUCUUCCUUCACACACGUUUCCUACUAUCUCUCUCAAAAGGUUUUAUACUUCUCCAUUUCUCUUUCCAAACAACAACAAAUUGAUUCUUCCAACAAUCUUCUGCUCUCAAUUUUGCAAGUUCUCAAGUUCGCAAUGGCAAGACCUUUCGAGAAGCUGAAGGACAUCAAUGAGAGUAAGGAAUUAUGGAAAAUUUCCGUCAGAAUUCAUCACAGGUGGACAAUUUUAUUAAAGACCAAUGAGCACUUCGAUUUGAUUCUGGUUGAUAAAGAGGUUUGCCUUUUGGUUUCGAUUUUUUUCUUGUGUUUCAUGUUAAUGUUUCGUUGUUACAAAUCUUAAAUUGGUUUUGGUUUAGUGUUUUGUAUUCAUAUUGUUUUUCUGGUUUCGUGUUAACCUGGAUUUUCAUUUUAGGGUUUGUUUGUUAAAAAACUGAAAUUGAAAGUGUUUCAUUUUAGGGUUGGUUUGGGUUCAUGUUAAACUGUGUUUUCUUUUUAGGGUUUAUUUGUUAAAAAACUGAAUUUUUCAGAUGUUUCAAUUUAGGGUUUCAUUGAUAAAUUUUAAUGGUUUACUUUUACAUCUUUAAAAAACUAUUAGAUGUUCUGAAUAUGUAUAAAACUGGUUUAGUUUAAAUUCUACUUUGUUUCGUUUUUGUAACUCUUAGACUAAAGACUCAUAUCAACAGAGUCUUUGGAAUGUCUGUUCUUCUUCAAAGUUUUAGACCUGAUAUUCAUCACCAUCAGUUGUUUCAAGGAGGUAGCGUAAAAGCAAUGUUUCAGCCGUGAUAGGGAAAUUUAUUUGCAGCUACUUCUGAUAAAAUGACAUCUAUUUGUAAUGUCCAAACUGACAAACAAAUUUACUCACUCCAGGUAAUUGUGAUGUUUCUCACUUUAAAAAAUUUCUGUUGAUUUUGUAAUUAAAUCAUUUGUCAUUGUAGGGUCGCCAUGAACCGAUAAAAAAUAUUUGUUGGGAUGCUACUGGAGAUAUAUCGGCAUCUGUUAGUCCAAAUUCAGUGUAUAUCUGAUAUUUGACAUAUGGAGAUGACAUUCAGAAGGUCAGCUCUUCUCGAAACCAGUUUUAUUCCAGUGUUUUUCAUCCAAAUAGUGCAUUCCAUAGAGUUAUGGAACAUGGCUGAGAAGGGCAUGAAAAUUUCUGCGCAUGUGAAAGUGAUAUCUCCAUUGGCUCAGUAUCUUGUCACUGGAAUGGUUGCCUCUGUGAGUCGCGACAACACUGUAAAGUUGUGGAAAUAAAUAUCAUACAUUUUAUGAUCUAAUAUCUCUCUUUCCCUUAUGCCUGUUGGACCUGUUCAUUAUGUUGGGUUUUUGAUCAUGAUAUCGAAUGACCCGUUGAUUGUGAUUUACAGGCGGUGAUAAAAUGGUUGCAUCCAUCACUUCUCGCUACCUAGCAACGACAAAAGCUACUGAACAAUGGGGAUCAAAAUUACAUUCUUUGUGUGUUAGAUUUGAGGGCUCACUUGAUCUUAAGGCCGCAAAAGAAAUUACAAAUUAUCUAGGAACUGAUCAUCAUGAGUUUACCUUUACUGUUCAGGUAAAAGCUUGAAAUUGAUGUUUGAUGGAUUCUUUAGUACUUGAAACUGAGAUUAUGAAAUGAAUAAUAUGUGGUGUUAUGUUAUGUUAUGUCAAAUAUAUGUAUUGAGGACUGCUACUGCCCUUAUAUUCCUACUGCUUUUAAACAAGAUUUUAUUUUGCAAUUUGAUUGAAAACAAUAACAUUAUUUUUCAGCUGGCUACUAACUUCUUAAAUGAAGGCAACCUUUCCAUAUUUUUAUGUAUCUGUCAACCAUUGUUCAUAUGUUGUCGGAGCUUUAUCGAUAUUUGCAAUUGAAGGUUGAUAAAGCUUAUAUUCACUACUAAAAUCUCGCACUGACAUCGUCUUGUGAGCCUGUUCUAGAGAUUGGUAAUGUUGGUAAUUCCUAACAUGUAAACUAGACCUUUUACUUGGAUAUAUCAUUUUGGUUAGAAUUAUGGAAAGAGCUAAAAAAACAAGAAAACCUCAUACUGAUCCAACAAUUUCAUCUCCUGGUUCAAAUCUUAAGGUAUCUUCAAUGGUCUAUGAGCAUCUUACUAGAUAUUGCAACAGUGUUGUUCUAAAUACUGCAAAGUGAAUCGGUCAGUAUUUUAGGUUCCGGUUCCUAAUGUGAAGUUUCGGGUUCCGGUUUACAAAUCUUACGCAAAUAAUUUCAUGCAAGUUUUGCUUAAUGAAUCUACAGUCUUGCAUUUUUUGAAAUUUGAAAUGACUGCCCCAACAAUUAAAUUCUUCCUGAAAAGAUGUGUACAUGCAGCUCAAGGGUUUCUUGUAUGAGCUUUAACUGACACGCUCAUAAAAUCUACCAUAAGAAGCAACUUGUAUCAUUAGCUACUGCUUCUUCAACACCAUAAAUGGUUAUGAGAAACCAAUUUCUAAACAUCCUUAGAAUUACUUAUUCUGUAUGUACAAUUUCAAAAAAGUUUGUGUUAACCAAGUUAACCAAAAUACACAAUGUACUUAUGCACAUUAUCAUAUAUGAAAUUUCACU
Molecule: long non-coding RNA, 2668 nt
Organism: Vicia villosa (hairy vetch)
Lineage: Eukaryota; Viridiplantae; Streptophyta; Magnoliopsida; Fabales; Fabaceae
Exons: 4
Source: RefSeq, a predicted model, not a curated record